GCGAUAGGCUUCGGGUAGCUGCAAGCGAGCGUAAAUCCGAAGAUUUCCGAAUGGGAUAACCCGUUAUUUCUGAUAAGGAAAUAUCAUCUCUACUUAAAUUCAUAAUAGUAGAGAGGGUAAGCAGGUGAAGUGAAACAUCUCAGUAACCUGAGGAAAAGAAAGAAAACUCGAUUCCCUUAGUAGUGGCGAACGAAAAGGGAAUAGCCCAAACCAGUCAAGUGUUAAAGUCUUGGAACGUUGCUUGAUUGGAGUUGUAGGAGUAACUAUUUUGGAAUUCCAAGAUUCCGAGGGAAGUAAUAAAAGAAUUUCUUUAUUGAAUACUAUGGGAAGAGUAGCCAUAGAAGGUGACAGCCCUGUAAAGAAAAGAAAUUCUCUUCCUUAGUUACUCCUGAGUACCAUGGGACUCGUGAAAUCCUGUGGGAAUCAAGGAGGACCAACUCCUAAGGCUAAAUACCUCCGUGACCGAUAGUGAACAUAGUACUGUGAAGGAAAGGUGAAAAGAACCCCGGAAGGGGAGUGAAAUAGAACCUGAAACCAUAUGCCUACAAACCGUGGGAGGACUAUAUUAAGAUUUUCUUAAUAGUCUGACCAUGUGCCUAUUGAAGAAUGAGCCAGCGAGUUAUUGAUUACGGCAAGAUUAAGGGUUAAUCCCGAAGUCAUAGCGAAAGCGAGUCUGAAUAGGGCUUUAAGUCGUAAUCAGUAGACCCGAAGCCGGGUGAUCUACCCAUGGUCAGGUUGAAGUGAGAUUAACCUCUCAUGAAGGACCGAACCAAUCAGGGGUGAAAUCCUGUUGGAUGAACUGUGGGUAGCGGAGAAAAUCCAACCGAACCCGGGAAUAGCUGGUUCUCCCCGAAAUGCAUUUAGGUGCAGCCUCAGGUUAAAUGAGAAGUGGUGGUAGAGCACUGGAUGGGCUAGGGGUCCAUUGGGCUACCAAACCCAACCAAACUCCGAAUACCACUUUUUCUUAUCCUGAGAGUGAGAAAACGGGGGAAAAGCUCCGUUUUCAAGAGGGUAACAGCCCAGAUCAUCCGCUAAGGUCCCAAAUGAAAACUAAGUGUUGUUGAUAAGGAAGUGGGGUUACUCAGACAGCUAGGAGGUUGGCUUAGAAGCAGCCAUCCUUUAAAGAGUGCGUAACAGCUCACUAGUCGAGUGACCCUGCGCCGAAUAUGUGCGGGACUAAGUUUUCAACCGAAGCGAUGGAUUGAGAUAUUAAUUUUAUAAUUAAUAUCUCAGUGGUAGGGGAGCGUUCCUAUUGUGGUGAAGGUAUACCGUAAGGAGUGCUGGAACAAUAGGAAGUGAGAAUGCUGGCUUAAGUAACGAAAAGAAGGAUGAGAAUUCCUUCCGCCGUAAGUCUAAGGUUUCCUGGGGAAGGUUCGUCCACCCAGGGUUAGUCGAUCCUAAGUUGAGGCUGAAAAGCGUAGACGAUGGAUAGCUGGUUAAUAUUCCAGCACUACCUAAAUUUCGUUAAAAGCUAAGGGGAGGUCGAGGAGGAUAGGUCUGCAGGGUGAUGGAUUACCCUGUUCAAACCUGUAGGUGGCAUCUUCAGGUAAAUCCGAAGAUGCGCUAACACUAAGAGGUGAUGAGGAGCUAUUGGGUAACCAAUGGCGAAGUGGCUGAAUCCAUACUUGCUGGAAAAACCUCUAUGCAUUGAAAUUUAGGUAAUCGUACCGCAAACCAACACAGGUAGACUAGGAUAAAUGUCCUAAGGCGCGCGGAAGAACUCUCGUCAAGGAACUCGGCAAUCUAACCCCGUACCUACGGUAUAAGGGGUGCUCUUCUUAGUUUAGGUAAUAUCUGCUGAAGCUAAGAGGAGUCGCAGAUAAUUGGCUCGGGCGACUGUUUAACAAAAACACAGGUCUCUGCAAAGCCGUAAGGCAAAGUAUAGGGGCUGUGGCCUGCCCAGUGCCGGAAGGUUAUGGGGAGGGGUUAGCUUUCCUUGUGAAAGCGAAGCUCUGAACUUAAGCCCCGGUGAACGGCGGCCGUAACUAUAAGUUAGACCUUGUAGUUAUAAAACCUGGCUAUAUGCUGGAAAACUCGGUGUAUCCUUUGGUACUUGUUAAUUUAUAACAAGUGACAAUCCAUAAGGUGCGAGCAAUCAGCAGGAAAGGCUUUCAGGGAGAGAAGAAAGGAAGGAAUGAUCAGUGAACCAAAAGAAGAUAAAUGUUCCACCUAAGAUUGGAUGGUAUCUUUCUGGCUUUACUGAUGGUGAAGGUAGUUUUAAUGUUACUUUUAGACCUCGUGAAGAUUUUAAAAAUGGAUGGAAAGUUUCACUAUCCUUUAGUGUAUCUCAAAAAGACAAGGUUAUUCUUACUCUUUUUAAAAGAUAUUUAGGUUGUGGAACUAUAAGACAAAGAGAAGAUGGAAUCUGGUGUUUUGAAGUAACUAACAUUGAAUCUAUUUCAGAAAAGGUAGUUCCUUUCUUUAAUAAGUUUAAAUUUCUUUCUCAAAGAAAGAAAAAAGCCUUCUCUAAGUUUAAAAAAGUUCUUGAAAUUGUAAAAGAUAAAAAAUAUCUAACUAAAGAAGGAAUUGAAACCAUAGCAAAACUUAGAGAAGAGAUAAAUUUAGAUAACUCAAAAAGAAGAUAUGAUAAAGAAGAAAUUAUAUCUUCCCUGAAAGAAUCCUCAGAGACUAUACGCCAGGCAUCCUCAAAUAAGGAUGAUGAUAUAGUCCGGUCUCCGUAGCGAUACGGAGGAUUGGUCAAAUUUU
Molecule: ribosomal RNA, 2706 nt
Filed under: activated sludge metagenome
Description: bacterial LSU rRNA
Rfam family: Bacterial large subunit ribosomal RNA (bases 1-2056)
Source: RNAcentral